AACCCGCACAAGCGGUGGAGCAUGUGGUUUAAUUCGAAGCAACGCGAAGAACCUUACCAGGCCUUGACAUGCAGAGAACUUUCCAGAGAUGGAUUGGUGCCUUCGGGAACUCUGACACAGGUGCUGCAUGGCUAUCGUCAGCUCGUGUCGUGAGAUGUUGGGUUAAGUCCCGUAACGAGCGCAACCCUUGUCCUUAGUUACCAGCACGUUAAGGUGGGCACUCUAAGGAGACUGCCGGUGAACAAACCGGAGGAAGGGUGGGGAUGACGUCAAGUCAUCAUCGGUCCCGUUACCGGCCGUGGGCUACACACGUGCUAC
Molecule: ribosomal RNA, 318 nt
Filed under: uncultured bacterium
Lineage: Bacteria
Description: bacterial SSU rRNA
Rfam family: Bacterial small subunit ribosomal RNA
Source: RNAcentral